RNAcentral lists this ribosomal RNA (253 nucleotides) under uncultured bacterium. RNAcentral's name for it is "partial 16S ribosomal RNA". It matches the Rfam family "Bacterial small subunit ribosomal RNA", at positions 524 to 776 of the family's 1533-position model. The record is from RNAcentral.
UACGGAGGGUGCAAGCGUUAUCCGGAUUCACUGGGUUUAAAGGGAGCGCAGGUGGAUUUGUAAGUCAGUGGUGAAAGGCUUAAGCUUAACUUGGGAACUGCCAUUGAUACUAUAAGUCUUGAAUGUUGUUGGGGUUUGCGGAAUGGGUCAUGUAGCGGUGAAAUGCAUAGAUAUGACCCGGAACACCUAUUGCGAAGGCAGCAGGCUAAACAAAUAUUGACGCUGAGGCUCGAAAGCGUGGGGAUCAAACAGG